This 790-nucleotide ribosomal RNA is filed under the name uncultured bacterium. RNAcentral's name for it is "bacterial LSU rRNA". It matches the Rfam family "Bacterial large subunit ribosomal RNA", at positions 174 to 1014 of the family's 2925-position model. The record is from RNAcentral.
ACGAGGCGAACGCGGAGAACUGAAACAUCUAAGUACCCGUAGGAAAAGAAAUCAACCGAGAUUCCGAAAGUAGCGGCGAGCGAAAUCGGAACAGCCCUUAAGCUUAUUAUGUGUUAAUGGAAGGCUCUGGAAAGUGCCACGAUACAGGGUGAUAGUCCCGUACAUGAAAAGACAUUUUAAGUGAAAUCGAGUAGGUCGGAGCACGUGAAACUUUGACUGAAUAUAGGUGGACCAUCAUCUAAGGCUAAAUACUCCCAACUGACCGAUAGUGAACCAGUACCGUGAGGGAAAGGCGAAAAGAACCCCUGUGAGGGGAGUGAAAUAGAACCUGAAACCGUGUACGUACAAGCAGUAGGAGCCCACUUGUUGGGUGACUGCGUACCUUUUGUAUAAUGGGUCAGCGACUUAUAUUUUGUAGCAAGGUUAACCGAAUAGGGUAGCCGUAGGGAAACCGAGUCUUAACUGGGCGAAUAGUUGCAAGGUAUAGACCCGAAACCCGGUGAUCUAGCCAUGGGCAGGUUGAAGGUUGAGUAACAUCAACUGGAGGACCGAACCCACUAACGUUGAAAAGUUAGGGGAUGACCUGUGGCUAGGAGUGAAAGGCUAAUCAAACCGGGAGAUAGCUGGUUCUCCCCGAAAUCUAUUUAGGUAGAGCCUCGGACGAAUACUUACGGGGGUAGAGCACUGUUAAGGCUAGGGGGUCAUCCCGACUUACCAACCCUUUGCAAACUCCGAAUACCGUAAAGUAAUAUCCGGGAGACACACGGCGGGUGCUAACGUCCGUCGUGAA